Molecule: ribosomal RNA, 468 nt
Filed under: uncultured bacterium
Lineage: Bacteria
Description: partial 16S ribosomal RNA
Rfam family: Bacterial small subunit ribosomal RNA
Source: RNAcentral
GACGAACGCUGGCGGCGUGCUUAACACAUGCAAGUCGAACGGAAAGGCCCUGCUUUUGUGGGGUGCUCGAGUGGCGAACGGGUGAGUAACACGUGAGUAACCUGCCCUUGACUUUGGGAUAACUUCAGGAAACUGGGGCUAAUACCGGAUAGGAGCUCCUGCUGCAUGGUGGGGGUUGGAAAGUUUCGGCGGUUGGGGAUGGACUCGCGGCUUAUCAGCUUGUUGGCGGGGUAGUGGCUUACCAAGGCUUUGACGGGUAGCCGGCCUGAGAGGGUGACCGGCCACAUUGGGACUGAGAUACGGCCCAGACUCCUACGGGAGGCAGCAGUGGGGAAUAUUACACAAUGGGCGGAAGCCUGAUGCAGCAACGCCGCGUGCGGGAUGACGGCCUUCGGGUUGUAAACCGCUUUCGCCUGUGACGAAGCGUGAGUGACGGUAAUGGGUAAAGAAGCACCGGCUAACUACGUG